AUGAUAAUAACAUUGUUCAACAAAGGCUUAAAACAAAAGGAAAUCAGCUGUGUACUCAAUUCAUAUGGGCAUAAAAUAAGUGAGAGGCAUCUGAGACGAGUUUUAAAACUUCUAGGGUUGAAGCGAAGAUGCCCCCAACGACCUUUUACUGAAAUCCACAAAGCAGUGGAGAGUGAGAUGAAACAGUGUUCUCCUGAACAAGGAAUCAGGGCAAUGGUAAAGCGGGUAAGGGAUGUCAGAGGAGUGCGGCCUUGUUACAGAGACGAUGUUGCUAAUAUAAUGAGGGAUAUGGAUGCAAGUGGUCUUCAGAGGAGAUCUCCUGGAAAGAAGAAAAUUCCCCGUCGGAAUUACAUCAGCCGUGGUCCAAAUGACACCUGGCACAUUGAUGGUAUUUAUUUUAUCUUUUCAACGCCUAGACAGAAUACAAUGGAAAACCAGAAUACUCUUGGGGAAUGUAACUGGCUAAAGGUGGGCACAUCCAACCGCAAACAAAACUUUGUGGCCAGAUACUUCUUUGAGGCUGUUCAAGAACAGGGUGGUAUGCAAUAUACUUAA
Molecule: long non-coding RNA, 555 nt
Filed under: Oreochromis niloticus (Nile tilapia)
Lineage: Eukaryota; Metazoa; Chordata; Actinopteri; Cichliformes; Cichlidae
Description: lncRNA (ENSONIG00000033190.1)
Source: RNAcentral